GACGAACGCUGGCGGCGUGCCUAAUACAUGCAAGUAGAACGCACAGUUUAUACCGUAGCUUGCUACACCAUAGACUGUGAGUUGCGAACGGGUGAGUAACGCGUAGGUAACCUGCCUGGUAGCGGGGGAUAACUAUUGGAAACGAUAGCUAAUACCGCAUAAUAUUAAUUAUUGCAUGAUAAUUAAUUGAAAGGUGCAAUUGCACCACUACCAGAUGGACCUGCGUUGUAUUAGCUAGUAGGUGAGGUAACGGCUCACCUAGGCGACGAUACAUAGCCGACCUGAGAGGGUGAUCGGCCACACUGGGACUGAGACACGGCCCAGACUCCUACGGGAGGCAGCAGUAGGGAAUCUUCGGCAAUGGACGAAAGUCUGACCGAGCAACGCCGCGUGAGUGAAGAUGGUUUUCGGAUCGUAAAGCUCUGUUGUAGGAGAAGAACGGGUGUGAGAGUGGAAAGUUCACACUGUGACGGUAUCUUACCAGAAAGGGACGGCUAACUACGUG
RNAcentral lists this ribosomal RNA (505 nucleotides) under uncultured bacterium. RNAcentral's name for it is "partial 16S ribosomal RNA". It matches the Rfam family "Bacterial small subunit ribosomal RNA", at positions 28 to 507 of the family's 1533-position model. The record is from RNAcentral.